UUUAAACACCGUUCUCUAAUAGCUUAAAUUUUUAGAGUAUAACGGUUGUUUCACAUGGUAUCAGAGCUGGAGGUCUUGAGUUCAAGUCACGCCAGAUUCCUAGCAUUAUUAAUUUCCUCCCAUUUAAUUUAAACCCACGUCAUGGACCGACUAAAAAGUCUCGAGCCCAGACGUGUUAAAUAUAAAAAUAUUUAAACAUCGUUCUCUAACAGCUUAAGCCUUUAGAGUACAACGGUUAUUUCACAUAGUAUCAGAACAGGCGGUUGUUUCACAUGGUAUUAGAACAUGAGGUCCUGAGGAGGUCCUGAGUUCAAGUCAGGCGGUUGUUUCACAUGGUAUCAGAACAUGAGGUCCUGAGGAGGUCCUGAGUUCAAGUCACGCUAGACUCCUAGUUCACAUGGUAUCAGAACAGGUGGUUGUUUCAUAUGGUAUCAGAACAGGAGGUCCCCAGGACUCACGUCUGGGCUCGAAACUUUUUAAUCGGCCCAUGACGUGGGCUUGAAUUAAAUGGGAGGAAAUUAAUAUGCUAAGAGCCUGGCGUGACUCGAACUCAGGACCUCCUGCUCUGAUACCAUGUGAAACAACCGUUGUACUCUAAAAGCUUAACACUUAAGCUUUUAGAGUACAACGGUUGUUUCACAUUGUUUCAUAUGGUAUCAGAGCAGUUCCUCCAAUUUAAUUUAAGCCCACGUCAUGGGCCGACUAAAAAGUCUCGAGCCCUAGACGUGAGGGAGAGUGUUAAAUAUAAAAAUAUUUAAACACCGUUCUCUAACAGCUUAAAUUUUUAGAGUACAACGAUUAUUUCACAAACUUAUACUUUUUUAAAAAAAAAAGUACAUUCAUUAAUUGGGAGCACUACUCUAGCAAAACUUUGUUGCCACAUAUAUGCAUCAUUGACGCAUUAAAUAAAAUUAUAAUAAAUGGAAUACGCACAAAAUUACAUUUUUAAAUAAAACCAUAUUUUGAAGCUUAAAAUUCUUAAUUUGGUGUUCUCUAGUCUCCAUUACACUAUUAUACAAUCUUCUUCAAAAUUCGAAAUCAAAAUCACUUCAACACCUUUUAAGUCUUACAAACAGUAGGGCAUUGGAAAUGCACAUGAUUUUAAGUAACGUAUAUAGAAACAUGAACUCAUAAAACAUUUAGAAAAACUUCUUAAUGCAUUUUGAAGUAGAAAAACUUCUUAAUUAAUGAGUCAACUACGUAAUAUUUCUGCUUUGCAAUCACAAAAACAAAGGAAAAAGAUAAUGCAAAAAAUAAUUGUCACAUGAAGGAUUCCUAUUUAUUUAAAGCAUGAUACGAUGAAAAAUAUUGUGUUUAUUUGUAACAGAGAUGCAGGUGAUGAAAGAACAAUUGAAACCGAAGCCGGUUAACGUGCGAAACAAGCCUACUGAAGAAGAUACAGGCACUCAACUGGCAACUGGCUCACCGCGAGGAGCGACGACUAGUCGGCCUUUUCUCUCCAAGCAAGGAAGUCAGAAGGCUAGUUGCUUGUGCUCACCGACUAAGCAUGCCGGUUCUUUUAGAUGCAGGCUUCACAGGUCGUCUCUCUAUCAUGGUGAUAGCUCUGUUGGUUCUGACCUCUCUGAGCUUGCAAACAGGUCGUCUCUCCAUCAUAGUGAUAGCUCUGUUGGCUCUGACCUCUUUGAGCUCUC
This 1652-nucleotide long non-coding RNA is filed under the name Ananas comosus (pineapple). RNAcentral's name for it is "long non-coding RNA (ACOM_LNC027863)". The record is from RNAcentral. Lineage: Eukaryota; Viridiplantae; Streptophyta; Magnoliopsida; Poales; Bromeliaceae.